UGGGGAAUAUUGCACAAUGGGCGCAAGCCUGAUGCAGCCAUGCCGCGUGUGUGAAGAAGGCCUUCGGGUUGUAAAGCACUUUCAGCGGGGAGGAAGGCGUUAAGGUUAACAACCUUGGCGAUUGACGUUACCCGCAGAAGAAGCACCGGCUAACUCCGUGCCAGCAGCCGCGGUAAUACGGAGGGUGCAAGCGUUAAUCGGAAUUACUGGGCGUAAAGCGCACGCAGGCGGUCUGUCAAGUCGGAUGUGAAAUCCCCGGGCUCAACCUGGGAACUGCAUUCGAAACUGGCAGGAUAGAGUCUUGUAGAGGGGGGUAGAAUUCCAGGUGUAGCGGUGAAAUGCGUAGAGAUCUGGAGGAAUACCGGUGGCGAAGGCGGCCCCCUGGACAAAGACUGACGCUCAGGUGCGAAAGCGUGGGGAGCAAACAGG
Molecule: ribosomal RNA, 429 nt
Filed under: Chloroflexota bacterium
Lineage: Bacteria; Bacillati; Chloroflexota
Description: Chloroflexi bacterium partial 16S ribosomal RNA
Rfam family: Bacterial small subunit ribosomal RNA
Source: RNAcentral